Molecule: microRNA precursor, 100 nt
Filed under: Manihot esculenta (cassava)
Lineage: Eukaryota; Viridiplantae; Streptophyta; Magnoliopsida; Malpighiales; Euphorbiaceae
Description: precursor microRNA miR162a
Rfam family: MIR162_1 microRNA precursor family
Source: RNAcentral
UCACUGGAGGCAGCGGUUCAUCGAUCUCUUCCUGGAGGAUUUUGUUGUGGAAUUAACACAAACACAUGAAUCGAUCGAUAAACCUCUGCAUCCAGCGCUU